GACGAACGCUGGCGGCGCGCCUAACACAUGCAAGUCGAACGAGCGAGAGAGAGCUUGCUUUCUCGAGCGAGUGGCGAACGGGUGAGUAACGCGUGAGGAACCUGCCUCAAAGAGGGGGACAACAGUUGGAAACGACUGCUAAUACCGCAUAAGCCCACGGUGCCGCAUGGCACAGAGGGAAAAGGAGCAAUCCGCCUUGAGAUGGCCUCGCGUCCGAUUAGCUAGUUGGUGAGGUAAUGGCCCACCAAGGCGACGAUCGGUAGCCGGACUGAGAGGUUGAACGGCCACAUUGGGACUGAGACACGGCCCAGACUCCUACGGGAGGCAGCAGUGGGGAAUAUUGCACAAUGGGGGAAACCCUGAUGCAGCGACGCCGCGUGGAGGAAGAAGGUCUUCGGAUUGUAAACUCCUGUUGUUGGGGAAGAUAAUGACGGUACCCAACAAGGAAGUGACGGCUAACUACGUA
This 466-nucleotide ribosomal RNA is filed under the name uncultured bacterium. Its description in RNAcentral is "partial 16S ribosomal RNA". It matches the Rfam family "Bacterial small subunit ribosomal RNA", at positions 28 to 507 of the family's 1533-position model. The record is from RNAcentral.